AAAAAAAAAACUGCCCUUUUUUGUAGUUUUGCUAAAAUUUUGAGAAGGAACAUUAGAUGUAUAUGUCCAAUCAACCAUCCUGACCCAAAAGUGCCCCAUCCUAAUUUACAUUAUUUAUUUUUGUCUAAAAUAUUCUGGUUUUCAUAGAUACUUUUCCAACAUGGGAAGGGUUUUAAAAACUCUUUCUCCUUUUCUUUAGUCCUUGCAGCUCUUUUUUAUAAACAUUUUUAACACCUCUGUUAAAGCAAACUUGCAGUUCUCAACAAAGUGUUUUCCACUGAUGUCUGCUAAAAUGGUACUUAGGAGGUAAAGUAUGUAAGAAUAUCCUUCUGAUGCAAUUACAUUUAAUAACAAUAUCAGUGUGGGCCACUUUCUUAGCUACCACCAGUUCUUUAAUGUUUUUGAAAAUUAACUUCCAGUCUUGGCCACAGCAGCCUAAGAGUCCCCAGAAGUAGCCAGUUUUAGGCAUAUUUGAAAGGAAUCUGUCUUUUCUACUUGGGAGGUUGAGGAACUUUCACCUUCUUUCUCAUUCUUCUCAUUUCUGUUAACUUCUUCCUCAAUCUUUCUUUGUGCUUUCAGGAUCUUCUGUUUUAUUGACUGUCUGUAUCUUUGGUCCCAUGUGUUGACUGCUUUCUGCAAUGAUUCAAAACUUUUUAUUUUGGGAAUUCUACCCUAGCCUGGUCCUUGUCCCACUGUGUCAUGUCCCUGUUGAUUGCAGUAGUGGGAAGUCUGUGCUCUGGGGCUAAAUUAGGUAAGACACAUAAGACAUUUAGAACAGUGCCUGGAACAUAGGAGACGCUCCUGGAAGGACUGUAGUUGUUUCCAAAAACUAUUGGGUCAUCGUGGAGGAUUGCUAAUUCAUGAGUAGGGCUGACUUCUGUGCAUUUUCUGGGUCCUUUUCUUUUUUCUUUUUCUAUAGAACUUUUCAUUAGGGUCAGCUUUCCCCCCUCAUGAGAUCAGAUUUCCUUGCAAUUAUUUUCUGAUCCCACAAGGCCAGUUCCACUAGUGCCUGCGUUGAAUUCUUCCACAUACUCAUCUGAUGGAAAGGGGUGGGUUUGGGGCUGAGGAGGGUUUAUGGGGAUGUUGAAUUACCAGAUCUAAGCCCACUCUGUCAACCUGAGAUCUGGAAAGCUGACCACUCGAGACAACUAGAGAUCCCUUCUCCUCUCUUCUUUAAUGUUUUUGCUGUUGAAGUUUCAGCACCUGAGAAGGGUUUUAGCACAGAGAGGAUUAAGAACUGGAUAAUCCUGGAUUUGAAAGUAGAAUGGUGAGCCAGCCUGAAAUAAUGCCCCCAUUUCCAUCUUGCCUAAUUCCCCUUCUUGUGUCAACCUUUGCCAGAGAGACCCCAUCCCCAGAACUGAGGUUGGGAAUCUGGACAUUGAGCAUUGAGACCUGUUCUAAUCCUGUCACAACUUGAUUCUGGCUUUUGGAACAUGAAUCCCAUGUCACAAAGGAAGCUAUGACAUAGGCACAGAGCUACAAGAUAGUGUGAUAUCUUUGGUGCCACUCUGAUGGGCAGGUUGUUCCAGCAAAGCAUGACAGUGUGAAGAUGCUGUGAAGUUGGCUCGGACAGCCGGGUGGAAGCCAGGACUUCCAGAAUUCCAACUGGCCCCAGGGGAAGAACUGGGUUUGGGGGAGAUGUUGAUUUGCAUGUGAUUUGCACAAGACUGAAACUCUGCAAGUGACGGUGGCACCAACGAGGUCUUUCUCACCUCGGUAUCGCUGGCACUUACGUGCUGGGGGCUCAAUACACGUUCCUGGAAGGAACAGAGGGAAGGAGGAGCUUUUCAUUUCUCUGCUAUCUUGACUUUCUCAACACUUCAACGCGUUGAUCUCAUUCGAUUCUUACAAGUGGAGGGAGAAAGGAUGGUUUGUCAUCACCCUUACUUUAUGGAUAAGGAAACCAAGAUAGCAUGGCUUGGCAAUUUAUCCAGAGAAGCAAAAUGACCGACAACAACGCACGGUCCUCAGGCAAAUCCUGUGGAGGAGAAAGGGCAAAGUCAUCCCAGUGUCUCGUUUUUGAGGGAACUUGUGGCUGCCAUGUGGACAGUACCAGGGGAUAUGUCUCAGCAGCCGGCCGGGAACUCUUGGCUGCAGACAGUUGCACAGCUCGUUAUCUUGAUGCCAAAACAAGAACCAAGGACCCUUUUCCACUAGGAGAACUCUCGGCAAGCAGGACUUGAGACGAGCGGAGUCCAGCUCCCCUGGAGGUCCAGUAACAAGUCAGGCUUCUGUGGGGAGCAAGGCAGUGGCAGGGAAGGAGGGGGAGUAAAUGGAAUCAUUGGAGAAAGCACA
Molecule: long non-coding RNA, 2295 nt
Filed under: Homo sapiens (human)
Lineage: Eukaryota; Metazoa; Chordata; Mammalia; Primates; Hominidae
Description: HSALNT0371142
Source: RNAcentral